This 488-nucleotide ribosomal RNA is filed under the name uncultured bacterium. Its description in RNAcentral is "partial 16S ribosomal RNA". The record is from RNAcentral.
GUAGUUAGCCGGGGCUUCCUCCUCAAGUACCGUCACUUCCUUCGCCCUUGAGGACAGAGAUUUACAAUCCGAAAACCUUCUUCUCUCACGCGGCGUUGCUGGGUAAGGGUUUCCCCCAUUGCCCAAUAUUCCCCACUGCUGCCUCCCGUAGGAGUCUGGACCGUGUCUCAGUUCCAGUGUGGCCGAUCAGCCUCUCAGCUCGGCUACCCAUCGUUGGCUAGGUGGGCCGUUACCCCGCCUACUACCUAAUGGGACGCGAACCCCUCCUUCUGCGGAUUGCUCCUUUGACCCCUGAGCCAUGCGACUCUGUGGUCUUAUGCGGUAUUAGCACUUGUUUCCAGGUGUUAUCCCCCUCAAAAGGGCAGGUUGUUCACGCGUUACUCACCCGUUCGCCACUAGCUAUAAAUCCGAAAACCUAUAGCCCGUUCGACUUGCAUGUGUUAGGCACGCCGCCACGCGUCGUCCUCGAGCACGAAUACAACUACUGA